GACGAACGCUGGCGGCGUGCUUAACACAUGCAAGUCGAACGGAAAGGCCCUGCUUUUGUGGGGUGCUCGAGUGGCGAACGGGUGAGAAACACGUGAGUAACCUGCCCUUGACUUUGUGAUAACUUCAGGAAACUGGGGCUAUUAUCGGAUAGAAGCUCCUGCUGCAUGGGGGGGGUUGGAAAGAUUCGGCGGUUGGGGAUGGACGGGCGGGUUAUCAGCUUGUUGGUGGGGUAGUUGCUUACCAAGGCUUUGACGGGUAGCCGGCCUGGGAGGGGGAACGGCCACCUUGGGACUGCGAGACGGCGCAGUCGCCUACGGGAGGCAGCAGUGGGGAAUCUUGCACAAUGGGGCGAAGCCUGAUGCAGCAACGCCGCGUGCGGGAUGACGGCCUUCGGGGUGUAAACCGCUUUCGCAUGUGACGAAGAGUGAGUGACGGUAACGGGUCAAGAAGCCCCGGCUAACUACGUG
Molecule: ribosomal RNA, 468 nt
Filed under: uncultured bacterium
Lineage: Bacteria
Description: partial 16S ribosomal RNA
Rfam family: Bacterial small subunit ribosomal RNA
Source: RNAcentral